RNAcentral lists this ribosomal RNA (489 nucleotides) under uncultured bacterium. Its description in RNAcentral is "partial 16S ribosomal RNA". It matches the Rfam family "Bacterial small subunit ribosomal RNA", at positions 28 to 507 of the family's 1533-position model. The record is from RNAcentral.
GACGAACGCUGGCGGCGUGCUUAACACAUGCAAGUCGAACGGUGAAGGGAUCAGCUUGCUGGUUCUGGAUGAGUGGCGAACGGGUGAGUAACACGUGAGUAACCUGCCCCCUUCUUCUGGAUAACCGCAUGAAAGUGUGGCUAAUACGGGAUAUUCUGCUCCUGCUGCAUGUUGGGUGUUGGAAAGAUAUUGUUUCGGUGGUGGAUGGGCCCGCGGCCGAUCAGGUUGUUGGUGGGGUGAUGGCCUACUAAGGCGGUGACGGGUAGCCGGCCUGAGAGGGUGGACGGUCACACUGGGACUGAGACACGGCCCAGAAUGCUACGGGAGGCAGCAGUGGGGAAUAUUGCACAAUGGGCGCAAGCCUGAUGCAGCGACGCCGCGUGAGGGAUGGAGGCCUUCGGGUUGUGAACCUCUUUCGCCAGUGAAGCAGGCCUGUCCCUUGUGGAUGGGUUGACGGUAGCUGGAUAAGAAGCGCCGGCUAACUACGUG